Molecule: ribosomal RNA, 760 nt
Filed under: uncultured Inocybe
Lineage: Eukaryota; Fungi; Basidiomycota; Agaricomycetes; Agaricales; Cortinariaceae
Description: partial 28S ribosomal RNA
Rfam family: Eukaryotic large subunit ribosomal RNA
Source: RNAcentral
GAAUCCCGUCUUUGACACGGACUGCCUGUACAUUAUGGUGUGCUCUCGAAGAGUCGAGUUGUUUGGGAAUGCAGCUCAAAAUGGGUGGUAAAUGCCAUCUAAAGCUAAAUAUUGGCGAGAGACCGAUAGCGAACAAGUACCGUGAGGGAAAGAUGAAAAGAACUUUGGAAAGAGAGUUAAACAGUACGUGAAAUUGCUGAAAGGGAAACGCUUGAAGUCAGUCGCGUUGGCUAGAAAUCAACCUUGCUUUUGCUUUGUGUACUUUCUGGUUGACGGGUCAGCAUCAAUUUUGACCACUGGAUAAAGUCUUUGGGAAUGUGGCAUCUUCGGAUGUGUUAUAGCCCAUUGUCGCAUACGGUGGUUGGGAUUGAGGAACUCAGCACGCCGCAAGGCCGGGUUUCGACCACGUUCGUGCUUAGGAUGCUGGCAUAAUGGCUUUAAUCGACCCGUCUUGAGACACGGACCAAGGAGUCUAACAUGCCUGCGAGUGUUUGGGUGGAAAAACCCAUGCGCGCAAUGAAAGUGAAAGUUGAGAUCCUCUUCAAAGGGGGAGCAUUGACGCCCGGACCAGACCUUUUGUGACGGAUCCGCGGUAGAGCAUGCAUGUUGGGACCCGAAAGAUGGUGAACUAUGCCUGAAUAGGGUGAAGCCAGAGGAAACUCUGGUGGAGGCUCGUAGCGAUUCUGACGUGCAAAUCGAUCGUCAAAUUUGGGUAUAGGGGCGAAAGACUAAUCGAACCAUCUAGUAGCUGGUUCCUGCC